CCCGGUUUGCGGGGUCUCCCGGGAAGCCAGCCCCACAUUUUCUAAGGAGCUGUAGCUUCUAUUCCUCUGCAGCGUCAGCCUCCCCUCGGCCAUUGCCAAAGGCACUUAGACAGCCCAGCCCGGGGCAUUCACAGAAGAGCCGAGUCAUCCCUUAUGAGGCCACAUGCACUCAGUGGUCCCCGGAGCCUCUGUCCGGAGGUCAGGGGGCGCCUGGAAAUUCUGGGAGCAUACUGCAGAGUCAGGGGGUGAAGCCCUGCUCUGCGGCCGGCCGAGGCCUGUGGGGAGGCAGAGAGCCAGUGGCUGCGUCAGGAAUACUCAUUCUCGGCUCUGGAGAUAUCCAAGUGGCCAGUGUGAAGCUGUGCCCCACCUCCCGAACUCCCCACCCCCAGUCUCUCUGCUGGUCAGGGAAACAAAUUUGCUCUUCAAAUUUGCUGCUCCAACGUUAACUGCAUUUAGAUAAGCUGGAGGAGGGGUCCUAAGGACAGAGCGUGAUACGUACUUGUCCUCAGAGGAAGCAGAGGUUUACCAUUGUUCUGUCAACUUGACCAUGAAGAGUGCAUCUGGCCAGACAACAUGAUGCAGCCUGGAAUUGCCAUCUCUCCUCCUGGGAGGUUUAUCCCUCCCAUCUGCUACAUUUCACCCAAAUGAGGAUGCAGAUCAGAAACAUGUUGCAGUAUGAGCUCUCUGCAGAAUUGGUGUGUGCUCCAUCUUUGAAUGUAUCACUCUCAUCACAGUGCCUGGUAUACAGCAGUUUCUCACUAAACACUUACUAACUCAUUUAAUAAAUGACUGAGUGAGCCA
RNAcentral lists this long non-coding RNA (801 nucleotides) under Equus caballus (horse). Its description in RNAcentral is "lncRNA (ENSECAG00000041004.2)". Lineage: Eukaryota; Metazoa; Chordata; Mammalia; Perissodactyla; Equidae. The record is from RNAcentral.